Molecule: ribosomal RNA, 2928 nt
Filed under: Capsicum annuum
Lineage: Eukaryota; Viridiplantae; Streptophyta; Magnoliopsida; Solanales; Solanaceae
Description: bacterial LSU rRNA
Rfam family: Eukaryotic large subunit ribosomal RNA
Source: RNAcentral
UACAAUGGAUAUCUUGGCUCUUGCAUCGAUAAAUAAUGUAGUAAAAUACGUUACUUGGUGUGUAUUGUAGAAUCCAUCAAUCAUCGAGUCUUUGCAUGCAUGUUGCAGCUCCAUCAUACGAAUUGUAGACUGGAGAAGCGUCCUCAACGACGGACCGAGCCCAAGUCCCUUCGAAGGGGAUGCUAGAGAGGUUGAGAGCCCUAUUAUGCAUGGAUCCUCUCGCAUUAUGAGAUGCUAUCUACAAAUCAGUUUGUUUAGGACUGCGGCCCAAAUCGAGCGGUGAAUUCCAUCCAAGGCUAAAUACCAGCGAGAUACCGAUAGCAAACAAGUACCGUUAGGGAAAGAUAAAAAUGACAUUGAAAAGAGUGUCAAAAAGUGCUUGAAAUUAUCGAGAGGGAAGCGUAUAGGGGUCAGUGACGUGCCCCGAUCAGAGAUAGAAUAGCGAUGAGCUGGUCCAUCGAUCUACUCAGGGCAUGAACUAGCGUGGAUUGGGGGGCGGCCAAAGCCAGAGCUCUCGAUACACUCGUGGAACGCCAUUUACUCAAUUGUGGUAUGAAGCACAUGACACUGGUAUUCUUCGGCAUCUACGCACACUAAACGUUGUCCUAUGGGCACCCCAUUCAACUCGUCUUAAAACACGGACCAAGGAGUCUGACAUAUGUGUGAGUCAACAGGCAAGUAAACCCGUAAGGUGUAAGGAAGGUGAUUUAUGGGAUCCCCCAGAGGGGUGAACCGCUGACCGAACUUGAUCUUUUGAGAAGGGUUCGAGUGAGAGCAUACCUAUCGGGACCUAGAAGAUUGUGAACUAUGCCUGAGCGGGGCAAAGUAGGAGGAAACUCUAAUGGUGGUUCGUAGCAACACUAACGUGCAAAUCAUUCGUCAGACUUGGGUAUAAGGGCGAAAGACUAAUCAAACCAUUUAGUAGCUGGUUUCUUAAGAAGUUUCCCUAAGGAUACCUAGAUCUUGCGUGCGAGUUCUAUUAGGUAAAGCCAAUGAUUAGAGGCCUCAGGGGCACAACGUCCUUGACCUAUUCUCAAACUUUAAAUAGGUAGGGUAGCACGGCUGUUUUUUUGAGCCACGCUAUCGAAUGAAGAGCUCCAAGUGGACCAUUUUGGGUAAGAAGAACUGGUGAUGUAGGAUGGAUACAAAGAUAGGUUAUGGUGCCAAACUGUACGCUAACCUAGAUCCCACAAUGGGUGUUGGUCGAUUAAGAAAGAAGGAUGAUGGUCAUGGAAGUUGAAAUCCACUAAUUAGUAUGUAAAAACUCACCUGCCAAAUCAAAUAGCCCCAAAAAUGAAUGGCACGUAAGCGCACAUCCUACACCUAGCCAUCGUGGCAAGUACAAGGCCCAGAUGAAUAGGAGGGCAUGGCGGUCGCUACAAAAACUUGGGCGCGAUCCUAGGUAGAGAAUCCUUGGUAGAAAAUAUCAAAUGAGAACUUUAAAGACCGAAGCAAGAAAAGGUUGUAUGUGAACGGUUGUUGAAUAUGGUUUAGUCGAUUCUAAGGGUUGGGGGAACCCCGACAGAUAGCGCAUUUCGUGCAUACUCAAAAAGGGAAUCGGGUUCAAAUUCCUAAAUCGGGACAUGUCAGUCGAUGGCAACGUUAGGAAGUGUGGAGACGUCGGAGGAAGCCUCGAGAAGAGUUAUCUUUUUUGUUUAAUAGCCUGCUCACCCUGGAAUCAGCUUAGCCGGAGAAGAGGUCCUGCGGCUGGAAGAGCACCGCACGUCGCGUGGUUUUUGGUAAGCUUUCGGUAGCCUUUGAAAAUUUAGAUUACCGAAUAGCGUUCAUGCCGGGUCGUACUCAUUACCGCAUCAGUUCUCCAUGGUGAACAACCUCUGGUCGAUGGAAUAGUGUAGGCAAGGGAAGUGGGGAAAUAUGGAUCCAUAACUUUGAGAAAAGGAUUGGCUCUGAGGGUUGAUCAUGGGGGUCCUAUUCCCAAACCUAUCAGCUGUCGGUGGACUGCUCGAGUUGCUCACACAAUGAGAGUGGGUCGCCGCAUGCCUGUCGAGGGUCAAACUGGGAAUGGUUCCUUCGGGGGCCUUCCCCGCACAUCGAACAACCAACUCAAAACUAGUACGAACAUGGGGAAUCUGACUAUUUAAUUAAAACAAAGUAUUGCGUUGGUCCAAACAUGUUCACGCAAUGCAGGUGGAAGACAUUGUCAGAUGAGGAGUUUAGCUGGGGCAGCAGAUCUAUUAAAAGAUAAUGCAGGUGUCCUAAGAUGAGCUCAACGAGAAUACAAAUCUCGUGUGGAAAAGAAGGGUAAAAACUCAUUUGAUUCUAAGUUCCAGUAUGAAUAAGAACCGCGAAAUCGUGGCCUAACGAUCUUUAGACCUUCAGAAUUUAAAGCUAGAUGUGUUAGAAAAGUUACUGCGGGGAUUGCUGGCUUGUGGUAGCCAAGAUUUCAUAGCGAUGUUGAUUUUUGAUCCUUCGAUGUCAGCUCUUCCUAUCAUUGUGAAGCAGAAUUCAUCAAGUGUUGGAUUGUUCACCCACCAAUAGAAAACGUGCGCUGGGUGAAGACUAUCGUGAGACAGGUUAGUUUUACCCUACUGAUGAAGGUGUCACAAUAGUAAUUCAACCUUAUACGAAAGAAAAUAUUAAUUCACUCAAUUGGUCAUCGUGCUAGUUUAAAAGGCCAGUAGCACAAAGCUACCAUGUGCUGGAUUAUGACUUAACGCGUCUAAGUCAGAAUCGGGGCUAAAAGUGAUGUAUGCGCUUGUCGUCCAUUUGUUGACCCGCAAUAGGGGCCUCAGCCCCCAAGGGCAUAUGUCAUUGGCUAAGCCAUCAUGGUGGUAGGGUCAUAGUGGCAGCCUUAAAUUACAAUUUCCAUCGAGUGGCAGAUAGAAUCCUUUGAAGAUGACUUAAAUAUAUGAUGGGGUAUUGUAAGUGGAAAGGUGGACUUACUACCAUGAUCAACUGAGAAUCGGA